AAUAUUGGACAAUGGGGGUAAACCUGAUCUCGCCCUGCCGCGCGUGUGAAUAAGGUCUUCUGUUUGUAAAGCACUUUAAGUUGGGAGGAAGGGCUUUCGGUUAAUACCCUGAAGUUUUGACGUUACCAACAGAAUAAGCACCCGCUAACUCUGUGCCAGCAGCCGCGGUAAUACAGAGGGUGCAAGCGUUAAUCGGAAUUACUGGGCGUAAAGAGCGCGUAGGUGGUUCAGUAAGAUGGGUGUGAAAUCCCCGGGCUUAACCUGGGAACUGCUUUCAUAACUGCUGAGCUAGAGUACGGUAGAGGGUAGUGGAAUGUCCUGUGUAGCGGUGAAAUGCGUAGAUAUAGGAAGGAACACCAGUGGCGAAGGCGACUACCUGGACUGAUACUGACACUGAGGCGCGAAAGCGUGGGGAGCAAAC
This 421-nucleotide ribosomal RNA is filed under the name uncultured bacterium. RNAcentral's name for it is "partial 16S ribosomal RNA". It matches the Rfam family "Bacterial small subunit ribosomal RNA", at positions 360 to 773 of the family's 1533-position model. The record is from RNAcentral.